GAGGAGACUUUCUACCUCUUAGAUACUUCUGAACAGAGAGAGGUCAGCGAAGAGGGAGAACUGCUGGCCUCAUUGCUCCCAAAACUGCAUGGACCAACUGCAAAGCAGGCUGCCCCAAGAGGAAGGGCUUGAGGCUUGGAACUGCUGGGCUGUUCUACUUUAUCCUAGCCUUGGAGAUGGACCCAAACACUCCUUCUGUGCCAGUGAGGUCUGACUGUUGAAAGAGGACGUUCUGAGAAGCAAGGCUUCCAGUAAUGGGAACCAGAAACAUGGAGGAUUCACCAUUUGAAGGAGCUUCUCUUAUUUGCCCAUUUCGGUACAGCAAAUGGGCAGAGCAUCCACUGGUGGACAGUGGUGGUUUCUGACUUACCACAAGUGCCUGAUGGAGGAGGAGGACCAUGCAGACAUGGAAGAAUCAAUCUGGCUGAUAUUGCUCAUGGCCCUUGGGGUAGCUGCUGAUGCCCUGUACGUAGACUGGCACUUUUGGAGCAGGGCCGCAAGGACAGACUGGUGGUAUCACAUUGUCAUGCGGCCCUGGGAUAACUAGCAGUGGAGCGUGAAGAAAGCUACCUUUAUGGAGCCUUGUGAGCAAGGUGCCCCCACUCUCCAGCACCAUGACACAUUCAUGAGGGCAGCAGUACUGGUCCAGAAGUGGGUUGCUAACCGUCUGGAAGCUGGCUAUUCCAGACUGCUACAGGUCUGUCGCUAACCAGUUAGGUGUUGGAAAGUCAGUUGCAGGUAAAGUGGUGGUGAAGGUUUCUGAGCCAAUCAGGUGUGUGUGUUACCCAAAGCUGGGGGAGGGGGGCAUAAACAAUAUCCUUGGAAGUAAUUGCUGAUUUUGAGAGAAUGAGAUUUCCAAACUGCAUCAGGCCCUUGAUGGGACGCGUGUCCACAGUAUGCCCACCUCAAGGAGCACAUGAGCAUACAAAUCACAAAGGCUACUACUCCAUUACUACGCAAGCCCUUGCGGACCCCAGAGACCAAUUUAUGGAUACCAACGUGGGCUGCACUAGAAAAGUUCAUGUUUUCCACUGAUCAAAGGUCUACUUUCAUGGACUGACUGGGACACUAAUCCCACCAAAUGACAUUGUCAUAAAUGGAGUUUCUGUCCCCACUGUUUUCCUGGGGACCCCGUAUACUCCUUUCUGCCUUGGCUUAUGAAACCGUAUCCUGAUCUCAGAGAGCCUGAUGCACAAUGGUGGCUGAACAUGCGUAUGGCUGACUGCUAUCCUGCUGACCCUGCUUACAGACAUGUUUGGAUGCCUGUGUCAUCAGUAUUGUCUGCAUUGUUGUGGCUUGCUGUUCUCUUCAUACUCCUUGUGAAGCUAAAGGUGAGCCAUUUGCCCCUGAAUGGACCUUGUGACAGUUAUGGAUUGCCAAACUUGUGCACUCAACCAGAGAUCACAUGUAUCACAAGUGGGGCAGGAUGCAGCCGCACAACACAUAUCAGAUGCUCUGUGUUCCCAUGUUAUGGACUUGCAUGGCCCAAUGAAAGAGGAAGAAUAAUUUGUUUAUGAAUGGACUUGUACCAUCUUUACAGUAAGUGAGGUACUGUCGCAUUAUGCAGUGAAAUGAGGGGAGAGACAGUGUAGUUAUGAAUGACAUGACCAUUUAUGAAGUAGGUAUAGGGGUUUAGUGACAAGAACUGUGGAUUUACAGUAUGGCUUGAUGUAGAGAAAUGUAUUGAGAAAUAGUGUGUGACUACAACCUCCCAGUUGUCUCUUAUCAUGUAUUUACCCUUAUUGUUUGAAAUGCACAUUAUAUGAUGAGAUGCGGUGAUGGCAAUAACAUUUCUUAAUAAAAUAAAAACCUUUAUUUCUGAACAUAUAUUAGAAAAACACAAUAUUAAACCAUAGCCAGGCAGGCCAGCUGCUAUUAGCACACCAAAAUGCCAGAAAAGCCAACAGCAAAACCACUAACAAAAAGUGCAUGAACACUGCAAACAAUGAAUCCAGUUUGAAACAAUAACCCCCGUACUGUUGUGUGUCCCCUGCCCCUCUGUUCUCCUUUCUCUUACCUCCAUGUUUGUUGCACACUUGGUGCCACUGUAGGGAGGUGGAGCUUUUCACGGGACAGAGUGCUUCAUGAGAGUGGAGGUCUGCAGGGAGGAGGGGGCCUGUACAGAGUUGGAGGACUGCAUGGGGAAGAUUUGCUCAGUCCAGUUGUUAAGUCAAGUCCCAAUUGCCUGGGCCACCCAACAACAGAAUUAUCCAAAAUGUUCCUGGCCUGCAACACAUGGAGCCUUGGAGGGGAUGUGGUGUGGGUGCAGUAGGACUCUGUACUCUAGGGGCCAUAGGCAUAAGCAGCCUUUCAAACAGGUCUUUCUGCUAGUCUGUCUUCCCCCAGCUGAUGUUCCUGCUCCAGAAUGCAAGCCCCUCCUUGCGCUGAAAGUCUCUUCUUGUGCACUGAAACUUUGUCCUUUUGCUCUGCAGCCUGUCUGUGCCUUGCCACUUGGGUAUCGUCUUGCCUUGUAUCCUUCUCUUUCUGGUACAGACUGGCCCUGUCUACAAUAUCCACCAUAAGUUCAUCACAGCAACACUCCUCCUUGGACCAGUCCCUGGCAGUUCUGAUUCCCAGGGACCUGCUGGAGUGGGACCACACUGACAAGGUGAAAAGACUAGCAGAAUCGAAAGGCCUAACAGCAGUCAUAAGAAAGUGCAUUAUUGUUUCACAGUUUCACAACAGCAUCUGUGCAUCCCCAGGCAAAAGUACCUUGUGGAUCUCAAGGGCAAAAAAUGAUACUUCGUAAACUGAGCUUCAGUGUAGUCUGGGACAAAGCAAAGCUCUCAGAAGCUCCUGGGACAAAAUUCAGCUAAUCAUAGUGAAAACCUGCACAGAUAAUGGUAAGCUCCUUUUUGUUUGUUUGUUUGUUUGUUUGUUUUUGUUUACAAAUUGCAGACUCCUUGGUCUAUGUUUUUUUUUUUUUUGGAAGUAAGGGGCGGGGUCAAGGGCAGAACCAUGGCUUACUACAUAAGCCUUCUCUAUAUUGUUAGGCUUUCUACAUUCUUGAGGACAUUACACUCCUAGAGGUUCCAGAAUGGCAAAGGGGAGAGCUUUUCAAACCUAUGGGGAGAGCUUUUCAAAUCUAUGGUGACACACAUCUAUGAGUGGAGUGGGCUAAGGACCAACACAGGGAAUUUGCCUUUCCCUGAAAUUUGGAUCCCUGGCUGGAGUUCCUAGUACAGGAAAUGUUUACAGCUAUCAGUUCCUGGGAUUGGCUCAAAAUUUAUGGGAGAAUCAAUAAGAUGCUGAAUUAGGGUGCACAUGGAUGGCUGGCCCCAUAUGAUGAUCACCCAUAAACAAUAUUCAGUGACAAUCUACCUGUACAUGUCAUUUUUAUAUUUUUAU
Mauremys mutica (yellowpond turtle) is the source of this 3348-nucleotide long non-coding RNA. RefSeq lists it as uncharacterized. The transcript is spliced from 3 exons. The record is from RefSeq and is a predicted model, not a curated record. NCBI's taxonomy places the organism in Eukaryota, Metazoa, Chordata, Testudines, Geoemydidae.